GAACCCCAACCUUCCCAUCACCAUCAAGCCUAGCAACAAAGUACAGAAGCUCCUGGAGGAGCGACUGAGAAGUGGCAGCUCCUGGCCAAGACGCGGCUGGAGGAGUUGCAGUGCUGGCACUUGGAGAUGAGGCACAAUGAUAUGCACUGUAGGCAGCUGGAGGAGGAGCCACAGCUCCAGGACCAGCAGCAGUAGCAGCAGCACGCAUUGCCUGGCUGGCCCCUGCUCAUGGGCAGGCCGGGAACGCCUGCCGCCCCACUCCCGCCCGGGCGGCAGCUGGAGUCCAGUGAGAUGACCCACACGUCACAGGUAGGCAUUCCACCGUCUACCCACAGAGCAGGGGCU
Galeopterus variegatus (Sunda flying lemur) is the source of this 345-nucleotide long non-coding RNA. RefSeq lists it as uncharacterized. Lineage: Eukaryota; Metazoa; Chordata; Mammalia; Dermoptera; Cynocephalidae. The transcript is spliced from 3 exons. The record is from RefSeq and is a predicted model, not a curated record.